RNAcentral lists this long non-coding RNA (245 nucleotides) under Elaeis guineensis (African oil palm). RNAcentral's name for it is "long non-coding RNA (EGUI_LNC022398)". The record is from RNAcentral. Lineage: Eukaryota; Viridiplantae; Streptophyta; Magnoliopsida; Arecales; Arecaceae.
CCCAGAAUACUAGGUUCGAGCAGCCUUUCGAAUAGUCAUCGGAAAGUCGAUGCAUAAGAGGGCGUCGAUUGUCCCCUAGAUUAUCAUAAGAGCCUUAUAGCUCUACAAAUGGUCGAUUGGAUCAGUGGAGCCGUCGUAUGGCUUCAUCUGCCGUAUCUUGAAUCGAGAUGAAAUUGGAUCGUCCAGGAUGCGCUGAGAGAGAGAUUGAAAAGUAUGGAAGUCAUAGUCAUUGGACGACUUCCGAU